RNAcentral lists this ribosomal RNA (753 nucleotides) under Proasellus grafi. Its description in RNAcentral is "12S ribosomal RNA". The record is from RNAcentral. Lineage: Eukaryota; Metazoa; Arthropoda; Malacostraca; Isopoda; Asellidae.
CCAAAUAGAGGUGAAUUUUUGUUAAUAAUUUUAUUGGAUUAACCCUUCUUCUGUAAGUUUAAAUCUAGCUGAAAAUAUAAAUUACAUUUAAUGUAUAUAAACUCACAACAUUAAUUAAAAGCCCUUUAGUACAAAAAAUUUUUAGACUGGCUAACCUAGUUAAAGUAAAUAAAUGAUCCAUUAGGUGCCAGCAUUCGCGGUUACACCUAUAUUUGAUAUAUUAUUCAUGGCCCAGGAACAAAAACAUAUAUAAAAAAACUUUAGAAGUAAAAUUCUGAUUGUUUUCAAUAAAAUUAGCAAACCUUAAAAACUAACUAAUAAACAGGGAUUAGAUACCCCUUUAUAGAACACAAACUCACACCUAGGGUAGUAAACGCUAUUCAACUCCAAACCCAAAGAAUUUGGCGGCAAUCAACCUUUCCAGAGAGACCUGUUUAUUUAUUUGACAAUCCACAUUAAAUCUUACUUUUACUAAAACUUGCAUACCGUCAUCUAAAUUUUACCUUAAGGUAAACAUUUUAAAGAUAACAAAUAUGUUAGAUCAACGCGCAGUAUAUAUAAAAGCUACAUAUGGGUCUCAAUUUAAAACAAAUAGAAGAAACUUUAAUAAGUUUUUAAAAGAGGAUUUGGAUGUAAUAUCCUUUUAAAAUAAUAAUAUGAUUAAGCCAUUGAUUGUGUACAUAUCGCCCGUCGCCCUCGACCCGAGGUAAGUCGUAACAUAGUAGAAGUACUAGAAAGUGUUUCUUUAUUUAA